Molecule: ribosomal RNA, 253 nt
Filed under: uncultured bacterium
Lineage: Bacteria
Description: partial 16S ribosomal RNA
Rfam family: Bacterial small subunit ribosomal RNA
Source: RNAcentral
UACGGAGGGAGCUAGCGUUGUUCGGAAUUACUGGGCGUAAAGCGCACGUAGGCGGCUUUGCAAGUUAGAGGUGAAAGCCCGGGGCUCAACUCCGGAAUUGCCUUUAAAACUGCAUCGCUAGAGUUGUGGAGAGGUAAGUGGAAUUCCGAGUGUAGAGGUGAAAUUCGUAGAUAUUCGGAAGAACACCAGUGGCGAAGGCGACUUACUGGACACAUACUGACGCUGAGGUGCGAAAGCGUGGGGAGCAAACAGG